Molecule: long non-coding RNA, 2630 nt
Filed under: Octopus sinensis (East Asian common octopus)
Lineage: Eukaryota; Metazoa; Mollusca; Cephalopoda; Octopoda; Octopodidae
Description: uncharacterized LOC118764525
Source: RNAcentral
CUCUAUAGAUAUAUGCAAGUACACGUGUGUGCUGUGUAUAUGUAAAAAAGUGUGUGUAUGUACAUACGUGUGUGCUUCAUCCUUAUUAGUAAUUUUUUAUUACUGGGCACAGACAAAUUGACAGAUCUGACUUCAGUUUAACAACUUGUCUCAGAUAUAGUUUCAGACUUUCUAUUGUUUGUACAUGUUGGUAUUUGACCUGAACUAGGUUGUGGCCACUUGGGAAGUGAUAUGUCUAUUAUUAAAGCAACGGUUUUAAUAAAAAUGUAGGCCAUGCAUCUAAUUUACUGCAAAAAAUGCUAAGGAAUUAUAAUCAUAUUGCAUAUUAACAGUAGUUCAACAAAAAGUAGGUGUUUCUUCAUUGUGUAUUAUAUUUGUAUGGGAGUGGAGUGGAGGAUGAAGUUAUUUUUAUAAAUCUGGUUGUAUUAGAGAAAUAUAGCAAAAAUAAUUAAUUAGGGGAAAAUGAGAAGGAAAGAGCGAAUGUGCUCUGAGUUGAAUGAACCUUUUUAUAUCUGUAAAUUUGCUUUUUUGUAAUUCUUUCUUCCCUCUAUGGAAGAAAUCACCAACCAGACAACAUUUAUAUUGGCAUACAAUAUUAAUGUUGUUUGGUUGGUGGGUUGAUUUCUCCAGUCACUCUUUAUAUUGUAUAGAAAGAAUGGCAGGGUUCAAAAAGAAAAAAAAUGUAGUUAACAUUAACGUAAGAGGUAUGGGAUGGGUACACAUGCUAGGCUUGGUGGCAGGCAAAAAGUUAAACACUACAUAAACACAGUGAGAAAAAAAGAAUCAUAGCAAUAGAGGAUAGGGAGUAAAUGACCGUAGGGGAGGAGUUAUUCAAAUGAGAAAUUUGUUUUAAGGUAGUAAAUAUUCUCUUUUUUUGAAAAUUAAUAUUCAUUUCAUCAUCUUGUAUAAAUACCGAGAUAUUUGAUAAUUUAAAUUAACAAUUAUUAUAUGUAUGCCAUAUUUCCUGAUAUUACCCAUGAUGGCAGAAGUUUAUUUCCAAAGUUACUUAUGUGACUGGUAACACUAGUAUAUAAAUUUAGUGAAUGAUUUUGAAGAAGAAACUUCAGGACACUGGCAUAAGCAUAGCCAAGUGGCUAGAAAGUUCACCUCACUAUCAUGUGGUUUUGGUUUCAACUCCACUAUGUAGCGCCAUAGCAAGUGUACUUUAUUGUAAUCUUGGAUUGACUAAUUACUUUGUGAGUGAAAUCUGGUACAUGGAAGUCUGUGGAAACUUGCCAUUUAUUAUCAGUCCACUGAAGAUUUGGGAGAAUCUCUAAACCAUCAGACAGAAAGCAGUGUAGCAUUUUGCACUAGUACUAUGAGUUGUGCACCCUCCUCUCCCGUUCUUUUUGCACUUUUGUGAACUCCCUGCUCAUGCACCCCAUGCAGUCCUCUAUCAUUCCAUUUAUAUUCACAGCUUUGUACCUUGAGAGUAUAUUUUGGUACAUCACCAUCUCUCUCUCAUUCAGACUGGGAUAACCAUGUUUCUACUGCAAGACUCUUGUUUCUGUCCCUCUAUCAUAGUUAAACCUCUCAUCACCUGGAACAAAACCACCUCUCAAAAUACUUCUUCUCAGUUGAAGGAUCUUUGUCUUGCAAGUUAUGUGAUGUUCCUCACUGGUGGUGGUACCACAUAAAAAAGCACCCAGUCCAUUCUAUAAAGUACUUGGUGUUAGGAAGGACAUCCACCUGUAAAACCAUGCUAAAGCAGACCUCAUCAGUGCUGGUCCCAUAUGCCAAAGCAGACAGUAGAGCUUGGUGCAGUCUUUUGGCUUGCAGCUCCUAUCAAACCAUCCAACUCAUGCCAGCAUGGAAAACAGAUGUUAGAUGAUGAUGAUGAUGACACAAACAGAGAAUCCAUAUAUCUUCUUAGUGUUGCUUUGUACUUUAAGCAGAAAUUGGGAAAUACACCGUAAUGGCUCCAGUGUUGCUGUCAAGAGUAGUGACCCUGGCUAUUAUUAGCCUUGAAGGCAUAUGCUGGAAUAAUGCCAUGCAAAUCGUAUAAUUAACAGAAAAUGUGGUGUGUCUGUCCCAGAUCAACAGAAGAAGCAUUUGUUGAUGUAGCAGAAAUGUAAUAGUAGUAAACAUUUGUAAUUCCAACAACAUCCAGAUGGGGUGUCUUCUGAAUUCUGUUCUCUGUGUGUGUGUGGUUAUAUGGAUAAACAUAACACUUUAUUUUCAUCUCUGAUCUUCCUGGGAAAAUUGUUUAGAAUUAAGAUUAUCCCUGUCUUUUCAUUAUCUGACAAAACUCAGAUGUUUUCUACUAUUAAAUAACAACAGAAAUUAACAUAAAAUAUUGCAAUAUCUUCGUUAGUCUUCAAGUUACUAGCAAUUGCAUCAAAAUUUUAAUAUUUCCUCUACUUUCAGUUUCAUUGAUUUUUGUCUUUUGCUUCUAGCUUCUGUUUGUGGAUCAAUAUUUAAUCAUUUCUUAAAUUUUUUUAUUCCUUCUUGUAAAUGUUUUAUUGGAUUUGCAGAUUUUCCUUGCAUCAGUUACAAGAAUCCUGUCCAUAAUAGCAGAGUGGGGGUUCUUGCAUAGGUAGAUAAAGGGAUCAGUUUAGAUAAUGUUAACUUUGAAGAUUGUGAGAGGUGAUACAUUGUAGGAACAGCAUUUCUAAGGAAGGAUUGGUAAA